Tachyglossus aculeatus (Australian echidna) is the source of this 496-nucleotide long non-coding RNA. RefSeq lists it as uncharacterized. NCBI's taxonomy places the organism in Eukaryota, Metazoa, Chordata, Mammalia, Monotremata, Tachyglossidae. The record is from RefSeq and is a predicted model, not a curated record. The transcript has 4 exons.
GAAUUUGAUCUUGAAAACUGGGGGCCUCGAAGAUUUCUGGAUGCUCAAGUGAAUGUCUCAGUACAUAAUUACUUGAAUUUCCCAUCAUUACCCUGAACAGGAGGUUGGUUUCACUCUUUCAUUGUACUUCAGCUCAGUUGCAAAAUAAGAGAACCAGAAAUGAAAGAAAAAGGAAUGACACUGCAAACUGAGCAACUGAGGCACCUGGCCCCAAGGAGGAUAAUGUUUGGCCACAGUCUGGCAUGGACAGAAGCCAAACCCACCAAGAGCUUUGAAACAACAAAAUUGUACAGGAAGCAAGUCUGAAAACAGAGUUGAGGAGAAAAGUCAAGCUGCUUUCCCAGAUACUGUGGGCACCACCAAGUGGAACGCGGAAAUACAGCCACCAAAGUCCAAACUCUGCAACUAUUACUCCCCUUUAGCCCAACACUCAGUGUGAGCUUUCUGCCCUCCUUUACUCUUCAUGUUAGUUCUGCCGUGACCCAAUGACCUCUGG